RNAcentral lists this long non-coding RNA (582 nucleotides) under Trifolium pratense (red clover). RNAcentral's name for it is "long non-coding RNA (TPRA_LNC005008)". Lineage: Eukaryota; Viridiplantae; Streptophyta; Magnoliopsida; Fabales; Fabaceae. The record is from RNAcentral.
UCUACAAUAACCUUCAAAACAUAUCAUUGUUACAGGAACAGUAGACGGAUAUUUUUUAUAGCAUUCUUCAUCCGUAUCACACUCUCCUAUAAUGUAAAAUAAGAAUAAGGAAUUAUUACUAAAAAUGGGUGAAAGAUUGUGUAUAAAAAACAUUACGAGAAUGAACUUACUUUGACUAAGGGCUACGACGAGUAACAGAGAAACAAAAAGAAUCACAAUAUAAACAAAUUUCAGAGUUGCAACCAUUUUUUUCACCUUUACAUGUAAGAAAUAUAAAAUGGUUUGAUCGUUUUAUAUUGUAAAAACCUCUUUAUGUUUACCUCAGCUAAGUAGUUUUUAAUGAUUACAUUGUUCCAACAAAUCCGUCUUUAAAAUUAGAAUAAUUUGUAGAUGUCUCUAAAGAAUAAUGAUGUAUCAUAUUCGUUCUUUUAGCUCAUAUAAUAGAUCUCAUUUUUGUUUACCAACCUUUCAUUAUUAUUUUUUUUCUUAUCUAACCUUCAAUAAUAGAGAGAGAGAGAGAGAGAGGAAAACCAAAAUCAUAUUAUUUUGUGAAAUAGAUAAUAAUAUCUUUAUGUAUUAAUC